Molecule: ribosomal RNA, 399 nt
Filed under: uncultured Lachnospiraceae bacterium
Lineage: Bacteria; Bacillati; Bacillota; Clostridia; Lachnospirales; Lachnospiraceae
Description: bacterial SSU rRNA
Rfam family: Bacterial small subunit ribosomal RNA
Source: RNAcentral
GGAAUAUUGCACAAUGGGGGAAACCCUGAUGCAGCGACGCCGCGUGAAGGAUGAAGUAUUUCGGUAUGUAAACUUCUAUCAGCAAGGAAGAAAAUGACGGUACUUGACUAAGAAGCCCCGGCUAAAUACGUGCCAGCAGCCGCGGUAAUACGUAUGGGGCAAGCGUUAUCCGGAUUUACUGGGUGUAAAGGGAGCGUAGGCGGCAUGGCAAGUCAGAAGUGAAAGCCUGGGGCUCAACCCUGGAAUUGCUUUUGAAACUGUCAAGCUAGAGUGUCGGAGGGGUAAGUGGAAUUCCUAGUGUAGCGGUGAAAUGCGUAGAUAUUAGGAGGAACACCAGUGGCGAAGGCGGCUUACUGGACGACUACUGACGCUGAGGCUCGAAAGCGUGGGGAGCAAACA